This 23-nucleotide transfer RNA is filed under the name Oxyura jamaicensis jamaicensis. RNAcentral's name for it is "partial tRNA-Phe". RNAcentral also lists the same sequence under 1 other name. The record is from RNAcentral. Lineage: Eukaryota; Metazoa; Chordata; Aves; Anseriformes; Anatidae.
CGUCCACAUAGCUUAACACUAAA